GACGAACGCUGGCGGCGUGCCUAAUACAUGCAAGUCGAACGGAAAGGCCCUGCUUUUGUGGGGUGCUCGAGUGGCGAACGGGUGAGUAACACGUGAGUAACCUGCCCUUGACUUUGGGAUAACUUCAGGAAACUGGGGCUAAUACCGGAUAGGCGCUCCUGCUGCAUGGUGGGGGUUGGAAAGUUUCGGCGGUUGGGGAUGGACUUGCGGCUUAUCAGCUUGUUGGUGGGGUAGUGGCUUACCAAGGCUUUGACGGGUCGACGACCUGAGAGAGUGACCGGCCACAUUGGGACGAAGAGAGAGCCCAGACUCCUACGGGAGGCAGCAGUGGGGAAUAAUGCACGAUGGGCGGAAGCCUGAUGCAAGAACGCCGCGUGCGGGAUGACGGCCUUCGGGUUGUGAACCGCUUUCGCCUGUGACGAAGCAAGAGUGACGGUAAUGAAUAAAGAAGCACCGGCUAACUACGUG
This 468-nucleotide ribosomal RNA is filed under the name uncultured bacterium. Its description in RNAcentral is "partial 16S ribosomal RNA". It matches the Rfam family "Bacterial small subunit ribosomal RNA", at positions 28 to 507 of the family's 1533-position model. The record is from RNAcentral.